This is a non-coding RNA of Acanthosepion pharaonis, 99 nucleotides long. The record is from the annotation of a GenBank genome assembly. NCBI's taxonomy places the organism in Eukaryota, Metazoa, Mollusca, Cephalopoda, Sepiida, Sepiidae.
ACUAAAAUACCAGUUCUUGUCCAUUCACCAAAGUUAAGCAAUGUCAAGCCUAGUUAGUACCUAAAUGGGUGACCGCAUGGGAAUACCAAGUGCUGUAAG